GCCUGGGUGGCUCAGUUGGUUGAGCGUCCGACUUUGGCUCAGGUCAUGAUCUCACGGUUUGUGGGUUCGAGCCCCACGUCAGGCU
This 85-nucleotide transfer RNA is filed under the name Felis catus (domestic cat). It matches the Rfam family "tRNA". Rfam says of the family: Transfer RNA (tRNA) molecules are approximately 80 nucleotides in length. Their secondary structure includes four short double-helical elements and three loops (D, anti-codon, and T loops). The record is from Rfam by way of RNAcentral. Lineage: Eukaryota; Metazoa; Chordata; Mammalia; Carnivora; Felidae.